UACGUAGGGGGUAAGCGUUGUCCGGAAUCAUUGGGCGUAAAGCGCGUGUAGGCGGUCCGGUAAGUCUGCUGUGAAAGUCGGGGGCUCAACCCUCGGAUGCCGGUGGAUACUGUCGGGCUUGAGUACGGAAGAGGCGAGUGGAAUUCCUGGUGUAGCGGUGAAAUGCGCAGAUAUCAGGAGGAACACCAAUUGCGAAGGCAGCUCGCUGGGACGUUACUGACGCUGAGACGCGAAAGCGUGGGGAGCAAACAGG
Molecule: ribosomal RNA, 253 nt
Filed under: uncultured bacterium
Lineage: Bacteria
Description: partial 16S ribosomal RNA
Rfam family: Bacterial small subunit ribosomal RNA
Source: RNAcentral